GAAAUUUAAAAAAUUUGGCGGUAUUUUAGUCUUUUUAGAGGAACCUGCUCUAUAAUUGAUGAUCCACGAUUAAUUGUACUUAGUUUAUUAGUUUGUAUAUCGUCGUAGUUGAGUAUCUUAGGAGAGAAAAAUAUUCAUAAUUUAUAAUUUUAUAAAAUAAAUCAGAUCAAGAUACAGUUUAUAAUUAAGAAGAGGUGGGUUACAAUAAAAAUAUUUAAAUGGUUAUGAUAAUUAACAUUAUUAUAUAAAUUGGAUUUGAAAGUAAUAUAUUUUAGUUAAAAUAUAUGAUUUAAGCUCUAAAAUAUGCACAUAUCGCCCGUCGCUUCCAUUGAAAAAUUUAAAUUGGAAUAAGUCGUAACAUAGUAGGCGUACCGGAAGGUGUGCCUAGUAAGAUUUCAAAUUAAAGCUUAUUUAAGUAUUUUAUUUACAUUAAAAUGAUAGAUUGUUAUAAAUCAAUUUAAUUUGAAUUAAAGAAUUUAUUUUUUAUAUUUAUAAGUAAUAUUAUUCAAAAAAAUAUUUUAUUGUUUAUUUAUUAAUUAAGAUAAAAUUAUUAUAAUUAUAGUUAAGUUGUAUAGUGAUAGGGUAUUGAAAUAUUUGAAAUAUUAAAAUAUUUUAAAGAAAAAUUGAUUUUUUGUACCUUGUGUAUCAGGGUUUAUUAAAUAAUUAUUAUUUAUAUUUAAUUUUCUCGAAUUUAAAAGAGUUAAGAAAUUAUUUAUUUUAUUGUGAAAAAAAUAUUUUAAAUAAUUUUUUAGUAAUGAAAUGUUAUUCGUUUUUAAAUUUAUCUAGUUUUUUAAGAAAUAAAUUUAAUUUAGUUAAUUAUUGUAAUUAAAAUAAUUAUUUAUUUUAAUUAAUAUAAUUAAUAAAUAUUUUAAGGGAUAAGCUUUAAAGUAAAAAUUUAUAAAUUAUUAAAAUUUUAUAGAAAUAAUUAGGAUUAGAAGUUUUUAUUUUUAAUAGUGUGUUAUAUCAAAUUUUUAUUAGAUUAUAAAAUUUAUAUAUAAUUUUAAAUUUUUUAUUAAAAUUAUUAAUUUAAUGUAAAAAUUUAUGUAAUAAUGAUAAAAUUAGUAUAAUUUAAUGUAAUUUUAAUUUUUAAUAUAAAGGUUAAAUUAAGGAAUUCGGCAAAUAAAUUUUCCGCCUGUUUAUUAAAAACAUGUCUUUUUGAUUAUAAUUUAAAGUCUGACCUGCCCAAUGAAUUUUAAAUGGCUGCGGUAUUUUGACCGUACAAAGGUAGCAUAAUAAUUAGUUUUUUAAUUGAGAACUGGUAUGAAUGGUUGGACGAGAAAAUUACUGUCUCAAUUUAAUUUAAAUUAGAAUUUAAUUUUUAAGUAAAAAAGCUUAAAUAGAUUUAAAAGACGAGAAGACCCUAUAGAGUUUUAUAUUAUUUUAAAUAUAAUUAAAAGUUAAAGAAUUUUUAAUUUAAAUAUAUUUAAUAAUAUUUAUUUGGGGUGAUUAAAAAAUUUAAUAAACUUU
This 1467-nucleotide ribosomal RNA is filed under the name Matthewsius penelopae. Its description in RNAcentral is "partial large subunit ribosomal RNA". The record is from RNAcentral. Lineage: Eukaryota; Metazoa; Arthropoda; Insecta; Coleoptera; Scarabaeidae.